This 253-nucleotide ribosomal RNA is filed under the name uncultured bacterium. RNAcentral's name for it is "partial 16S ribosomal RNA". It matches the Rfam family "Bacterial small subunit ribosomal RNA", at positions 524 to 776 of the family's 1533-position model. The record is from RNAcentral.
UACGGAGGGAGCUAGCGUUGUUCGGAAUUACUGGGCGUAAAGCGCACGUAGGCGGCUACUCAAGUCAGAGGUGAAAGCCCAGGGCUCAACCCUGGAACUGCCUUUGAAACUAGGUAGCUAGAAUCUUGGAGAGGUCAGUGGAAUUCCGAGUGUAGAGGUGAAAUUCGUAGAUAUUCGGAAGAACACCAGUGGCGAAGGCGACUGACUGGACAAGCAUUGACGCUGAGGUGCGAAAGCGUGGGGAGCAAACAGG